Molecule: ribosomal RNA, 2388 nt
Filed under: Campylobacter jejuni
Lineage: Bacteria; Pseudomonadati; Campylobacterota; Epsilonproteobacteria; Campylobacterales; Campylobacteraceae
Description: partial 23S ribosomal RNA
Rfam family: Bacterial large subunit ribosomal RNA
Source: RNAcentral
AGGUUAACCCGUUUGUGGGGUAGUCGUAGCGAAAGCGAAUCCGAAUAGGGUGUUUAAGUGGCAUGUCCUGGACCCGAAGCGGGGUGAUCUACCCAUGGCCAGUGUGAAGCAGCUGUAAGAGGUUGUGGAGGCGCGAACCCACUUAGGUUGAAAACUGAGGGGAUGAGCUGUGGGUAGGGGUGAAAGGCCAAUCAAACUCCGUGAUAGCUGGUUCUCCCCGAAAUGCAUUUAGGUGCAGCGUGAUGUGAGCUUGCCGGAGGUAGAGCUACUGGUUGGUUGAGCGGGACUAUCAUCUUAGCGACGUCAGCCAAACUCCGAAUACCGGUUUAUAGUGGUGCAUUGCAGUGAGACUGUGGGGGAUAAGCUUCAUAGUCGAGAGGGAAACAGCCCAGAUCGCCGGUUAAGGCCCCUAAGGGUGUGCUAAGUGGAAAAGGAUGUGGGAUCGCGAAGACAGCCAGGAGGUUGGCUUAGAAGCAGCCAUCCUUGAAAGAGUGCGUAAUAGCUCACUGGUCGAGUGGUUCCGCGCCGACAAUGUAGUGGGGCUCAAGCACACCGCCGAAGCCGCGGCAAACAUUUUUGUUUGGGUAGGGGAGCGUCGUGUGUGGGGUGAAGCCGUACCGGAAGGAGCGGUGGACUGCAUGCGAGUGAGAAUGCAGGCAUGAGUAACGAAUGGCAAGUGAGAAUCUUGCCCGCCGGAUGACUAAGGGUUCCUGGGUCAAGUUCGUCUUCCCAGGGUGAGUCGGGUCCUAAGGCGAGGCCGACAGGCGUAGUCGAUGGUUAACGGGUUGAUAUUCCCGUACCCGUAUAUGCGCGCCCAGUAUCGAAGCGGUGAUACUAACCACCCUGACCCGCUUGCCGUUGCCACUUUUCGAAGUGGUUGGUUGGUGGUGAUGCGUGGGGCCUGAUCCGUUGUAGGUCAGUGAUGGGGUGACGCAGUGAGGUAGCCGAGCCGCUGAUUGGAUUGCGGUGCAAGCGUGUGGCACGACACCACGGUAAAUCCUGGUGUUUUUUGUGUGAGGCGUGAUGCGUAGCCCUUGCUUGGGUGAUGUUGGUGAUCCUGGACUGCCGAGAAAAGCCUCUAGCGAUGUGCGUAUACGGCCCGUACCCAUAACCGACACAGGUGGUCAGGUAGAAAAUACUGAGGCGAGCGGGUGAACUGUGGUUAAGGAACUCGGCAAAAUGCCCCCGUAACUUCGGGAGAAGGGGGACCUGCACUAGUCAAGCAUUUUACGUGCGGCAGCUGGUGUGGGUCGCAGAGAAGAGAGGGGAGCGACUGUUUAUCAAAAACACAGGUCCGUGCGAAGACGGUUAAGUUGAUGUAUACGGACUGACGCCUGCCCGGUGCUGGAAGGUUAAGAGGACCUGUUAGACCCUUUGGGGUCGAAGCGGAGAAUUUAAGCCCCAGUAAACGGCGGUGGUAACUAUAACCAUCCUAAGGUAGCGAAAUUCCUUGUCGGGUAAGUUCCGACCUGCACGAAUGGCGUAACGACUCCCCUGCUGUCUCAACCACAGGCCCGGUGAAAUUGCAGUACGAGUAAAGAUGCUCGUUUCGCGCGGCAGGACGAAAAGACCCCGGGACCUUCACUAUAGCUUGGUAUUGGCAUUCGGUGCGGUUUGUGUAGGAUAGGUGGGAGACUGUGAAGCAUGCACGCUAGUGUGUGUGGAGUCGUUGUUGAAAUACCACUCUGACCGUAGUGGAUAUCUAACCUUGGCCCAUGAUCUGGGUUGGGGACAGUGCCUGGUGGGUAGUUUAACUGGGGCGGUUGCCUCCCAAAAUGUAACGGAGGCGCCCAAAGGUUCCCUCAGCCUGGUUGGCAAUCAGGUGUUCAGAGUGUAAGUGCACAAGGGAGCUUGACUGCGAGACUGACUAGUCGAGCAGGGACGAAAGUCGGGACUAGUGAUCCGGCACCUACUUGUGGAUGUGGUGUCGCUCAACGGAUAAAAGGUACCCCGGGGAUAACAGGCUGAUCUUCCCCAAGAGUCCAUAUCGACGGGAUGGUUUGGCACCUCGAUGUCGGCUCGUCGCAUCCUGGGGCUGGAGUAGGUCCCAAGGGUUGGGCUGUUCGCCCAUUAAAGCGGCACGCGAGCUGGGUUCAGAACGUCGUGAGACAGUUCGGUCUCUAUCCGCCGCGCGCGUUGAAACUUGAAGAAGGCUGUCCCUAGUACGAGAGGACCGGGACGGACGUACCUCUAGUGUGCCAGUUGUUCCGCCAGGAGCACGGCUGGUUGGCUACGUACGGAAGGGAUAACCGCUGAAAGCAUCUAAGCGGGAAGCCUGUUUUAAGAUGAGGUUUCAUUUGAGGUUCCCAGAAGACGACUGGGUUGAUAGGCCGGACCUGGAAGCACAGCAAUGUGUGGAGGCGACCGGUACUAAUACACCAAUAAACA